GUAUAUUUAUAUAGUAUAGGAUUUUUCAACAAAAGUGCUUUAUGUUAUAAAAUAAAAUUUUAAAUUUAGAAGCUAAAAUUAAUAAAUUUUAUUAAAAAAUUUAGGCUUUGUUACUUCUCUUGGCGAAACUUGUGCCAGCAGCCGCGGUUAUUCAAGUAAGAGUAAGAAUUUAAUUGGAAAUAAAAAAAUUAUUUUGAAUUUAAAAGUUUAUUUGAGGUGAAAUUUAAUAUUUUUGUUUAAUUUUUUGAUUUUUAGAAAUUUUUUUUAAAAACUAGGAUUAGAUACCCUAUUAUUUUAAAAAGUUAUUAAGGUAGUGAGUAAAGUGUAUUAAAUCUAAAGAUUUUGGCGGUGUUUUAAGCUUUUUAGAGGAAUUUACUCUUUAAUUGAUAUAACACAAACAUCUUACUUAAUUUGGUAAUGGCAGUUUGUAUAUCGCUAUCAUUCAAUAAAGUUGAAUAAUUUUUUAUUAAUCUUAAGAUUUUUAUUAAUGUUAGGUCAAAAUGCAGCUUAAAAUUAAGGUUGAAGUAAAUUACAUUUAUUUAUAUUAAUAUAUGAAUGAAAAGUGGUUUUGAAUUUAAAAGUAAGAUGAAAUUAUAAUGUUUAUCUGAAUCUAGUUCUAGAACAUGCACAUAUCGCCCGUCACUCUCAGUUUUGAGAUAAGUCGUAACAAAGUAAAAGUACUGGAAAGUGCUUUU
This 695-nucleotide non-coding RNA is filed under the name Carios vespertilionis. The record is from RNAcentral. Lineage: Eukaryota; Metazoa; Arthropoda; Arachnida; Ixodida; Argasidae.